GACGAACGCUGGCGGCGUGCUUAACACAUGCAAGUCGAACGGUAAGGCCCUUCGGGGUACACGAGUGGCGAACGGGUGAGUAACACGUGGGUGAUCUGCCCUGCACUUCGGGAUAAGCCUGGGAAACUGGGUCUAAUACCGGAUAGGACCACUGCCUGCAUGGGUGGUGGUGGAAAGCUUUUGCGGUGUGGGAUGGGCCCGCGGCCUAUCAGCUUGUUGGUGGGGUGAUGGCCUACCAAGGCGACGACGGGUAGCCGGCCUGAGAGGGUAACCGGACACACUUGAACUGAGAUACGACCCAGACUCCUACGGGAGGCAGCAGUGGGGAAUAUUGCACAAGGGGCGCAAGCCUGAUGCAGCGACGCCGCGUGGGGGAUGACGGCCUUCGGGUUGUAAACCUCUUUCAGCACCGACGAAGCGCAAGUGACGGUAGGUGCAGAAGAAGGACCGGCCAACUACGUGCCAGCAGCCGCAGUAA
This 478-nucleotide ribosomal RNA is filed under the name uncultured bacterium. RNAcentral describes it as "partial 16S ribosomal RNA". It matches the Rfam family "Bacterial small subunit ribosomal RNA", at positions 28 to 523 of the family's 1533-position model. The record is from RNAcentral.